CCUUACUCUCCAGUCUUCACUUCAAAAAAAAAACUUUAACAAAAAAUAUUCGAGCACUCAACCUCCAUUACCACUGCACACUACUCUGGUUAGGGCGACGUGAUUCACAUCCUCAACGACUGAUCCCCAUUACCCGGAUCAACCGAUGACGGCCUGAAUCUAUUCCUCCGAAGAAAAUUCCUCGAUCAUCUUCAACAAUCGCAUCAACCCUUGUAUUAAAAACCCUAAUUUUGGAUUUGGGUUCCGCCGCUGCCGACGAAAAAAUUGCCGUCUCACGGAGGAAGAUAUGAACGAAGAGAGAAGUAGCUAGAAGGGUCAAUAUGAAUAUCCUGAGUUGUGAUGCCGUCGGUGAACACCGGCCGGUUAGCUGCUACCACGGAUUCAUCCGAGCGAGUGGUACCAAAAGUGAGGGAAAUGACAUAGCCACCACAGCAAGAGAGGAGAAAGAUUGGGGCGAAGGAGGGAAGAGCAUUGGAGAAGUUGAUGAGAAGUUGAAGGUGAGCUGAGGUUAUUAUUAUGCUUGAGAUUUGUGGAUUAGUGUUGUUGGAGAUUAUGCGUGUGAAAGAAUGAUUAAAAGUUCUGGGCAGAAAUCUCUAUGCCUCAUAUAACUGAAGCAUUUGUGUAGGGUCUUUUGCGACCUCAAACCGUACCACAGCACAUUGUCUACACUAAGGUUUGAGGAAUUGGUUUCAGUUGGAUCAAAGAAGAUGAUACCUAUGACCCGAGGAAUGCCAAAAAGCUCGACAAAGAAGGGCACUCCUGCUAUUCUUGAAGUUGGUUCAGAAGUUGAAGUUUUGGCAGCGAAUUUCCUGUUCUGGACAAAGUGAAGAAUUCAGACAUAGAAAAGGAGAUUCUAGAGGUAGCUAACAUUGCAAAAGAAGACAUAGAAGCUCUGACAUUAUCUACCAUUAUAGUUUUAUUUAUUUUGAAGUCUUUUGAUGUUUUGGACAACUUGUGAUAGAUAUAUCGUUUUAGGAUUAUUUUAUAGAUUUUGAAUGGUUAAUUAUUUUGUAUUGGUUAUGGGUAAAUUUACGGUAAUUGAAUACUUAUUUGGUGGUGAUUGCUUAUUACUGGAACAAAAUGGUUCAACGCUUUGGAUAUUGAUGA
Molecule: long non-coding RNA, 1107 nt
Organism: Spinacia oleracea (spinach)
Lineage: Eukaryota; Viridiplantae; Streptophyta; Magnoliopsida; Caryophyllales; Amaranthaceae
Exons: 6
Source: RefSeq, a predicted model, not a curated record